CCAACACUACAGACAGUAGGUU
This 22-nucleotide small nuclear RNA is filed under the name Arabidopsis thaliana (thale cress). RNAcentral describes it as "snRNA_00485". Lineage: Eukaryota; Viridiplantae; Streptophyta; Magnoliopsida; Brassicales; Brassicaceae. The record is from RNAcentral.